UAGGGAAUCUUCGGCAAUUGACGAAAGUCUGACCGAGCAACGCCGCGUGAGUGAAGAAGGUUUUCGGAUCGUAAAACUCUGUUGUUAGAGAAGAACAAGGACGUUAGUAACUGAACGUCCCCUGACGGUAUCUAACUAGAAAGCCACGGCUAACUACGUGCCAGCAGCCGCGGUAAUACGUAGGUGGCAAGCUUUGUUCGUAUUUAUUGGGCGUAAAGCGAGCGCAGGCGGUUUCUUAAGUCUGAUGUGAAAGCCCCCGGCUCAACCGGGGAGGGUCAUUGGAAACUGGGAGACUUGAGUGCAGAAGAGGGGGGUGGAAUUCCAUGUGUAGCAGUGACAUGCGUAGAUAUAUGGAAAAACACCAGUGGCGAAGGCGGCUCUCUGGUCUGUAACUGACGCUGAGGCUAGAAAGCGUGGGGAGCGAACAGG
This 429-nucleotide ribosomal RNA is filed under the name Gemmatimonadota bacterium. RNAcentral's name for it is "Gemmatimonadetes bacterium partial 16S ribosomal RNA". It matches the Rfam family "Bacterial small subunit ribosomal RNA", at positions 355 to 776 of the family's 1533-position model. The record is from RNAcentral. Lineage: Bacteria; Pseudomonadati; Gemmatimonadota.